CCUGCCCUGUGACAAAAGUUUAACGGCCGCGGUAUUUUGACCGUGCAAAGGUAGCGCAAUCACUUGUCUUUUAAAUAGAGACCUGUAUGAAUGGCAUAACGAGGGCUUAACUGUCUCCUUUAUCCUAUCAAUGAAAUUGAUCUCCUCGUGCAGAAGCGAGGAUAAUAACAUAAGACGAGAAGACCCUAUGGAUCUUUAGUCGCAAGAACAGAACAUGUCAAAUCUAUUAAUCAAAAACCGAAAAUUAUUGAAACCUGUUCAAGUGCCUUUGGUUGGGGCGACCGCGGAGUAAAAAAAAACCUCCAUGAAGAAUGAAGAAAUCUCUUCCUAUUUAAGGAUGACAAUCCUAAAAAUCAGAACUUCUGACUAUAAUGAUCCGGCAAAGCCGAUCAACGAACCGAGUUACCCUAGGGAUAACAGCGCAAUCCUCUUUUAGAGUCCAUAUCGACAAGAGGGUUUACGACCUCGAUGUUGGAUCAGGACAUCCUAAUGGUGCAGCAGCUAUUAAGGGUUCGUUUGUUCAACGAUUAA
RNAcentral lists this ribosomal RNA (531 nucleotides) under Fundulopanchax scheeli. RNAcentral describes it as "partial 16S ribosomal RNA". It matches the Rfam family "Bacterial large subunit ribosomal RNA", at positions 1858 to 2591 of the family's 2925-position model. The record is from RNAcentral. Lineage: Eukaryota; Metazoa; Chordata; Actinopteri; Cyprinodontiformes; Nothobranchiidae.